This 223-nucleotide long non-coding RNA is filed under the name Lathyrus oleraceus (garden pea). RNAcentral's name for it is "Pisum sativum (pea) long non-coding RNA (PSAT_LNC012386)". The record is from RNAcentral. Lineage: Eukaryota; Viridiplantae; Streptophyta; Magnoliopsida; Fabales; Fabaceae.
GGAUUUGGUUGGGGAAAUACAAAUAUUUAUAAAUUUAAUGAACCUAAUAAAUUAAUUACACGACUAAUGAUCUACCAAAGUAAUUAAACCUAAGUUAAAUAAUUAAGUAGGAGAAAAAUAAAAAAAUAAAACAAAACAAGUUAGGAAAUAAAUAAAAGAGAAGUAAACUAGAAAGACUAAGGGGAGUUCAAAACAAAUGGAUGUGUGGUGAGAAUAGAAGGGA